GAUGAACGCUGGCGGCGUGCCUAAUACAUGCAAGUCGAGCGAACGGACGAGAAGCUUGCUUCUCUGAUGUUAGCGGCGGACGGGUGAGUAACACGUGGAUAACCUACCUAUAAGGCUGGGAUAACUUCGGGAAACCGGAGCUAAUACCGGAUGAUAUUUUGAACCGCAUGGUUCAAAAGUGAAAGACGGUCUUGCUGUCACUUAUAGAUGGAUCCGCGCUGCAUUAGCUAGUUGGUAAGGUAACGGCUUACCAAGGCAACGAUGCAUAGCCGACCUGAGAGGGUGAUCGGCCACACUGGAACUGAGACACGGUCCAGACUCCUACGGGAGGCAGCAGUAGGGAAUCUUCCGCAAUGGGCGAAAGCCUGACAGAGCAACGCCGCGUGAGUGAUGAAGGUCUUCGGAUCGUAAAACUCUGUUAUUAGGGAAGAACAUAUGUGUAAGUAACUGUGCACAUCUUGACGGUACCUAAUCAGAAAGCCACGGCUAACUACGUG
Molecule: ribosomal RNA, 497 nt
Filed under: uncultured bacterium
Lineage: Bacteria
Description: partial 16S ribosomal RNA
Rfam family: Bacterial small subunit ribosomal RNA
Source: RNAcentral